Molecule: unclassified non-coding RNA, 253 nt
Filed under: uncultured Cyclobacteriaceae bacterium
Lineage: Bacteria; Pseudomonadati; Bacteroidota; Cytophagia; Cytophagales; Cyclobacteriaceae
Description: contains 16S-23S intergenic spacer region
Rfam family: Bacterial small subunit ribosomal RNA
Source: RNAcentral
UACGGAGGGUGCAAGCGUUGUCCGGAUUUAUUGGGUUUAAAGGGUGCGUAGGCGGGUUAUUAAGUCAGUGGUGAAAGCCCACAGCUCAACUGUGGAACUGCCAUUGAUACUGGUGAUCUUGAAUUCAGUUGAGGUAGGCGGAAUUGAUGGUGUAGCGGUGAAAUGCAUAGAUACCAUCAAGAACACCGAUUGCGAAGGCAGCUUACUGGACUUGAAUUGACGCUGAUGCACGAAAGCGUGGGGAGCGAACAGG